AGGACGAACGCUGGCGGCGUGCUUAACACAUGCAAGUCGAGCGGAAAGGCCCUUCGGGGUACUCGAGCGGCGAACGGGUGAGUAACACGUGAGCAACCUGCCCUUAGCUUCGGGAUAGCUCCGGGAAACCGGAAUUAAUACCGAAUAUGACUUUGGCUGACAUCACGCAGAAGUGGAAAGUUUUUCGGCUAGGGAUGGACUCGCGGCCCAUCAGCUAGUUGGUGAGGUAACGGCCCACCAAGGCGACGACGGGUA
This 255-nucleotide ribosomal RNA is filed under the name uncultured bacterium. RNAcentral describes it as "partial small subunit ribosomal RNA". It matches the Rfam family "Bacterial small subunit ribosomal RNA", at positions 26 to 285 of the family's 1533-position model. The record is from RNAcentral.